This 360-nucleotide ribosomal RNA is filed under the name Triticum aestivum (bread wheat). Its description in RNAcentral is "partial small subunit ribosomal RNA". The record is from RNAcentral. Lineage: Eukaryota; Viridiplantae; Streptophyta; Magnoliopsida; Poales; Poaceae.
AUGGUUUUGAUAUCCGUCCUCGUCGGUCCUCGUCCUUGUUAUGAUUCGGAUGUGGAGGUAUGUGAACCGGAAAUUCCAACCGACCCUAUUAUCGAGAGGUUAAAUUUAGUUGAAAGAGAAAAUGAGUAUUUGAAAGAAAAAUUGAAAAGAAUUGAGGGGGAGAAGAUGGAAUUGGAGUUGCAUGUUGCCGAUGUCGUCGAUGAUCACAAGAUCAAGAUGGAGAAAAUGAGGUUGAAGAUUAGAAAGAUUAGAAAAUAUGCCAUUGAUAGUGUGGCUUGGUAUCAUUAUGAUGUUGGAUCAAUUGUUACCUUAGUUGCGAUCUUGAUCGCAUUUGUUGUUGAAUUUAAAUUCUUUAGCUAG